CAAAUGGUGCCUUUUUAGGCUUAAUAGGGAAGUUGGUGCAAAUCCGACACGGUCCCGCCACUGUGAUAGGGAGUAUAUAUAAAUUAUGCCACUGAUUUAUCGGGAAGGCUUAUAUAUAUGAUGAUCUUAAGUCAGGAUAACUGCCAUUUGUUAU
RNAcentral lists this non-coding RNA (154 nucleotides) under chicken gut metagenome. The record is from RNAcentral.